GCCAGAAUAGCAUAGUGGUUUGAGUGCUCGACUAGGACUCUGGAGAGCAGGGUUCAAUUCCCACCUCAGCCA
Molecule: non-coding RNA, 72 nt
Organism: Phrynosoma platyrhinos (Desert horned lizard)
Lineage: Eukaryota; Metazoa; Chordata; Lepidosauria; Squamata; Phrynosomatidae
Source: the annotation of a GenBank genome assembly